Molecule: ribosomal RNA, 315 nt
Filed under: uncultured eukaryote
Lineage: Eukaryota
Description: partial 18S ribosomal RNA
Rfam family: Eukaryotic small subunit ribosomal RNA
Source: RNAcentral
CCCUUAGACGUUCUGGGCCGCACGCGCGCUACACUGACCAGUGCAACAAGCAUCCGUCCUUGGCCGACAGGCCCGGGCAAUCUUUGAACGCUGGUCGUGAUGGGGAUAGACUUUUGCAAUUUUUGGUCUUCAACGAGGAAUUCCUAGUAAACGCAAGUCAUCAACUUGCAUUGAUUACGUCCCUGCCCUUUGUACACACCGCCCGUCGCACCUACCGAUUGAAUGGUCCGGUGAAGCCUCCGGAUUGGCGCGCACCUCGGUGCCGCCGAGAAGUUGGCUAAACCUUAUCAUCUAGAGGAAGGUGAAGUCGUAACA